This is a long non-coding RNA of Microplitis mediator, 1650 nucleotides long. RefSeq lists it as uncharacterized. NCBI's taxonomy places the organism in Eukaryota, Metazoa, Arthropoda, Insecta, Hymenoptera, Braconidae. The record is from RefSeq and is a predicted model, not a curated record. The transcript is spliced from 5 exons.
ACUGAGAGAAAUAAUUUAUAGUUGAAGGAAAGUACGUGUAAUUUUCCUUACAAGACGUUACAACUUUCAAUACAUAUUUAUCGAGAUAUCCCAGGCAUUAAAAGUAAAACAAUUACACGGCAACAAUAUAUUAAAACGAGAAAAUAUAUAUUCAUGACUGCAAGAUGUUCAAGAGUUAUCAAACAACGACCAAGUCAUAAGCCGGAGCCGCUAUCUCGCGUGAUCAACAAUCACCGGACAAUUGACGUCUUUAUCCGCGGGUAUAUUCAUUGAGGAGCCUGUUCCCAGCCAAGUUAGUAAGACGAAUUAACGCUCCUGAGAUUUACCAUCGACAGCUUUCGCUCUCGAACUCAUGCAUACUCAUAUAUCCAUAUACAUACAAGUCUGCUGAGGUGAGAUACACAAACAACCUGGUACAAAGCUCAAGAAAAAUAUCAGUCGACAGUGUUCAGUGUAAUCAAGAUAAGUAACCGAGGAACGUCGCCGAAAAGUGUCUUGGUCGUGUGGUACAGCAUCAAGAGGAACCAGGCCCCCCAUCGAACUGCAAUCCAUAAGCCUGCAAGACACACCCGUAAUCGCUGUUAUUUUAUCGUAAACGGUAAUGCACUCUCUUUAUUUAACUUUACCUCCUUAUUUUAAAUAUUUUUUGUGGCUGCAAGCCACACAAGCUCUACUUACAUUAUCCCCCGCAGAGGAGAGACCCGAGUUAAAAGUUAAGUGUAAAGAGAGUAGAGUAGAGUAAAGUCAGAGUAUAUCUUUAUUUCUUAUUCUACCCUAUUUUCUCUUUCUUUAUUACCCUGUUGGUUGGUUGAUCUUCAGCAUGACUAAAAAGAAGACGGGUAAGAAUGAGGAUGGAAGUAAAAAUAAAAUAAUAUGCAUCGGUACCAAUGAUUAUCGUGCGUCAUUACGCAAUUGCUGUGGCAAAUGAAAUGCAUUGGCCGUGUUCCGAUCUUCAUACUCUUAUUAUUCUGCUGGUUACUUGGUAUCGUAUGUGUGCAAACAUGAGGGAGAUUAAAUUGAGAUUUAUUGGAAAAUGUGACCGGUACUUUUUUUGUCCCUCGGAUUUCGUGCCCUCGAGCUUCUUCAUUUCAUUUUUUACAACAUGAUUAAUCGAUUCUUUUGUUAUUACUCUCAUUGGUUACUCUCGGAUCGGGUUUUUGAGUCAAGGCCGUGAUGAUCAUUGACGUGUCCGGAAUUGAUAGCCACGUGAAAGGUCCAUUUCCUUAUCUCAACUACUCUACACUAAUUUGCUACGACAUCCGUACGCCUACAUUUGUAUUUAAUUAAUUUUUUUACUACUCAUUAUUAUUAUUUUUUUCCACACAUUGAUAAUUAACACAACAUAUAUUUAUAGACACACACGCAAUAAGUCCACUCUCACACUUGCCGCGUAUUCAUAUAAAUUUUAUUAUAAGUGUUUUCAAUUAUGAUUGGCGUUGCGUUGUCUAAUGCGUUAAGAAUUCGCGUAGACUCGAGUGUUGCCUGGCAUCGAAUAAGAGAUGAUCGACCUGGUAUAGCAUUAAAAUUAUGUUAUGUAGCUAGAUCUUGAAAUUAAUUUACGAGGUCAUAAUCGCCAAUUGAGAUGAUAAUAUUCCUUCCAUGCAAUUGCCUUGCGUACCACGCAUUCAAUACUCUACUCUUUAUUCAUAU